This 495-nucleotide ribosomal RNA is filed under the name uncultured bacterium. RNAcentral describes it as "partial 16S ribosomal RNA". It matches the Rfam family "Bacterial small subunit ribosomal RNA", at positions 28 to 507 of the family's 1533-position model. The record is from RNAcentral.
GAUGAACGCUGGCGGCGUGCCUAAUACAUGCAAGUCGAGCGAACAGACGAGGAGCUUGCUCCUCUGACGUUAGCGGCGGACGGGUGAGUAACACGUGGAUAACCUACCUAUAAGACUGGGAUAACUUCGGGAAACCGGAGCUAAUACCGGAUAAUAUAUUGAACCGCAUGGUUCAAUAGUGAAAGACGGUUUUGCUGUCACUUAUAGAUGGAUCCGCGCCGCAUUAGCUAGUUGGUAAGGUAACGGCUUACCAAGGCGACGAUGCGUAGCCGACCUGAGAGGGUGAUCGGCCACACUGGAACUGAGACACGGGCCAGACUCCUACGGGAGGCAGCAGUAGGGAAUCUUCCGCAAGGGGCGAAAGCCUCGGAGCAACGCCGCGUGAGUGAUGAAGGUCUUCGGAUCGUAAAACUCUGUUAUUAGGGAAGAACAAAUGUGUAAGUAACUAUGCACGUCUUGACGGUACCUAAUCAGAAAGCCACGGCUAACUACGUG